GAAGCAUGAGUAGUGUGAUGAGUAAGAAACAGACUUGCUUUAUGAGUUACUCAACCCAAAGAACAAGAGCUGACUCGUCCUUAAUACGCUUAUUCCCAAACAAGGGGGGAAUCCCAGUAACGGGGGUCUCUCAGAAAGUCCUUGUUCCUCUGCAAAUUGCUGGAGAAGUGACGCUCCCUGUCUGAAGUAUGCAAACCAAAUGGAUGUUUUCAAAGCUGUGACAAAGAAGGGGAAAGAUUGUCGUACAAGCUGGUAAUUACCGCAUGGAUGAAUAGGGCUGAGGGGCUGUUUGGCUGACACCACCGCUUUUCAAAAAGGUUCCCUUCCAUACAGCUCAUGGACUCACCAUGUUCCGUAAUCGUACCCUGCUCUGAGGGCUCGAUGGGCCUGAUGGGCAGCAGGCACAAAGACCUCUCUGUCCUUGCUUGGCCAAGAGUGAGGCCUCAUUCCAAAACAGUGAAGUCUUUGAAAAUUGCCUGGCACGGGUACUUCGCUACGGUUGUUUACAUGAGCGCUGCCAGGAAAACCAGAUGAAUUAGAUGCAAGAGGAGUUGGAGAGAUAGGGAUUAGGCUGACAAAAAAGAAUCGAGGAGGGAUUUUGUUUGGAAUGAGCAUAAACGGAUGAAACAUCCGUCCUUGACAAAUGUGUGGCAUUCAAUAGGGAGGGGAAGAAGCUGUCACGCAUGUCUGAUUGAGUGUCUUAUGACGAUCAUUAAAUAAAUUGUGCAAUCCAAUCAGACAAUGUUGAAUCAACACAAACUUUUGAGGAAAUGACAUACAAAACAUUCUGGGAAAGCUUGCAUGAAAGGUGACGAGAGCAACUUUUAGUAAGGAAGACCUUUUCGAGAGCCAUAAUCAACCAAAUUAACCAAUAUGAAAGCCCAACCGUUAAAAAUUUUGAGAAAUGCACCACUUUUUGCACAGCCAAAUGAUUGUUGGCAGUCCAUCUAAGUCUGAUCUCAGUUAUACUAAAAUGAAAAACAAAUUACAAACAUUUCUAAAGAAAAACUUGCAAUGUUGUUUACUGGCUGUGGCAUUUUUAAGACAUCCAUCCAUCCAUCCAGUGGUUGAGGCUGACGCUCGAACCAGUCGGCCACCGAGCCGCCAUUUUUAAGACAUACAAAAGAAAAAUUGUAUGAAGUUACUACUUUUUAAGGAUCACCCUGACAAAAAUACAGUUGAUACGGUUUUAUUGGGUGGACAGACGGCUUCAGAAAUGCAGGAUUCAGCAGUAGACUAAAUCAUACCUGCUUUUCCCUCUUGUGUGCACAAUCUGGCACAGAACCGGGCCCAAACUAGUCUGAUUGAGAAAGUCUGAGGACCUGGCAACUUCAGAGAAAAACAGACAUCAGUCCUUGCUGGCUGACAAAUGAGAAUGCUAGCAGUGUCCAGUCACAUUCUGGAAUGCCACCAAUUUGAGAGAGGAACUGAUGAGUCUCUGUGUGAACGAGAGGGAAAAGAAGCAGGGCAUGUUCGGACAAAUUCUUAGAGAAAUGCGCAACACUGGCUGUUCAACUUUUAAGCUUCUGACUCCGCCACGACAUCAUGACUUUAGCCCUAGCAGCCAAAUUACACAGGAAGCGCUGACUGACGAGGGCCCCGCUUCAGACAAAGCGGGCACGCCACGACGAGAUGAGCGUCGUGCUGACAAAUUGUUCAACUGACCACAAAUGAGCGCAAACAUCAAAUGGCGUCGAAGCGCUUGAGAAACCGGUGACAGCGUAUCGUCAUUCAUCAUCACCAUUGUUGUUUGAUGUGCUGCUCUGGCUCGACUCAGGGGCCCUCGCUAUCACUGCAGCACAGCUCUGAGAGUAAUGGGCAGAGCGCGACACUGGCAAAGUGCAUUUCACUCACAGACCCCACAACGAGACAGUUGUGGAGUAGCCACUGUACUGUAUAUAGACCUUGUUUUUAUCUCUAGCACAGUCGUCCUUAAUCUUUCCUCUCGUCUUAUCCAUAAAAUACAUUGACAGGGUUAAACUUUUUUUGUGUGGGAGAGACGGCGGAAUGAAACCUUUAAACAGCAAAAUAACAUAUGGGGUUGCCAUUUCCAAAAUGUAAACAAUGUCAUUACCUGGGCAGUCCAGGAGGUUUGACAAUAAAUGUCCAACUCACAGAAAGGCAGUUGCUUAGAGAGGAAAAAAAAAAAAAAGAAAAAAAAAAGUGAAUUACACUGCUUAGCUGCUCUGCUUGUCAUAAACGGGACGCGAAUGCCACUUUUCCACUGCACAGGCUUCCCUUGGGGUUGCAGUUCUCCUCUUCAAAGUAAUAUUGUGGGACACUGUGAAAACCAUGCCGCAUUGAACGCAUUAGUCAGACAGAGACAUGCUAACAAACAAAAAUAAUGGAGGUGCUGUUCUCAUUUUAUUUGAGAAGAGACUCAAAGUAUCAAGAAAACGGACCUCUGCAGAGAAGUGGAGACUGAGGGGUAUAUUACUCCAGCGUCCGAAGCCAAGGCAGGAACAGGCCUGGGAUGGGAUUGCCAGGGUCCCCGCCUUCGGCCACCGCCCAGCUCGCACUGCACCCGACCCCGAUGGCCCCCUCCCACAGGGGCUUGUCGUCUAACUAAUGCAGUCAGCGGCUUGGAGGCGGACAGCGAGUGCAGGGAGAGGGGAAGUGCAGCCUGAAGCAGACAUCCAGUUUUUCUCUCCCCGCAACCUCGGCUCGCAACCGCUGAAGCUCGGCAGCCAGGUCACCUCAUUAGAAUUUUUUGCAUUCUUCUCCAGGGAGCACUGCACUCCUUUUUCCACCCCUGAGUGCUCUUCAUUAUGCACAACCUCUAAUCCCUGCCAAGAUUUAAUCUGAUCAAUAAAAACAAGUCAGGUAAAACUCCACAUCAGAUAUAAAAGGUACUACUCCAACUUGGGCUUGUUUCCAAAAGAUUAGUGGAAUAAUUGGCCAUUAAAUUAGAGAAUCACUGUACGUAAUGUUGUACAUGCACACAAAUCAAUUAAACAUAAUCCGAUUAUAGCCUGUUGACUUUUAUUCACAUUUUUGUUUUAGCGCACCCUCAGAUGAUGCCCCCUUUUCCUCUGAACAAUACACAAUAGCCUCAAUACAGCUAUAUUUGCUAUUGCCAUUUU
Phyllopteryx taeniolatus (common seadragon) is the source of this 3083-nucleotide long non-coding RNA. RefSeq lists it as uncharacterized. The record is from RefSeq and is a predicted model, not a curated record. The transcript has 3 exons. NCBI's taxonomy places the organism in Eukaryota, Metazoa, Chordata, Actinopteri, Syngnathiformes, Syngnathidae.